This 536-nucleotide unclassified non-coding RNA is filed under the name plant metagenome. Its description in RNAcentral is "partial contains 5.8S ribosomal RNA, internal transcribed spacer 2, and large subunit ribosomal RNA". The stretch from base 1 to 104 matches the Rfam family "5.8S ribosomal RNA", at positions 50 to 154 of the family's 154-position model. The record is from RNAcentral.
GAAACGCGAUACGUGAUGCGAAUCGCGGGAACCAGCGAGCCAUCCAAUCUUCGAACGCACCUUGCGCUCCCGGUACCCCCGGGAGCACGCCUGUCCGAGUGUCGUCCCCAAGACCCGUCGCCUUUCUUUCUCUUCUCUCUCUUUUCAUCGAGAGAGAGAGGGGUGUGAAAGGCUGCCCUGGGCUUGUCGCCGCCUGACUUCAUUUGUUUGGGUGGCGUCGCCCUAAGAACAGACUCAAAGGGGUUUUUCCUUCUUUGCAGGAUUUCUCCACUCAUGCCCUCUCUCUUUCCCUUCUCUUCUUCGCAAGAAGAGAGAAGAGAAAAAGAGUGCCUGGCAGUUAGCGGGAUCUUCACGAUUUCGCCACACCAAAGGGUCUCUUUUUUUCUUCUUUCCUUGGGAAGAGAAAGAGAGGAGCAAAAAGAGAAAAGGGAAACUUGCAAAACAAAAAGGAUAAAACCAUUUCCCUUUUUUGUUAAACACUUUUUUUCAAAAACGACCGACCUCGGAUCAGACGUCAUCACCCGCCGGACUUAAGC